CCCUCCCUAACACAGCAGGUGUAAUAAUCAAUUGUUCUUCUGCUUCUUUCCAAAGAUACACGUGUUUCUCUCAAUCCAUAUGGAGUAUAAACAAGCUUGAAGAUCUGAGUUGCCUGUGAUUUCCCUUUGGCCUGCUUGCUGAUCCACUACACAUGUUAUUCCCCGUUGAUAGAUAGCUCUAUGAUUCUUUCUUCUCUUCGCAUCCCAUACAAAUUUAGUAUCUUGGAAUUGUAAGAAUAGGUGGUCUCUGAUUUCCUCAUGCAUAUGGCAAUACACACAAUUUUUAUCCAUAGUCAUACCCCAAUCUAUCAAUUUAGAAGCCUCCCAUGCAAUGUUAGCCAUAAUGUGAAUUGUUCCUUAGGCCUUGCAUCAUUUUCAAAUCUUAGAGGCUUCCAUAUUAUCCUUUCUUGGUCACCUAUCAGCUGCAAGUAGAGUUGCUUUAUCAUGCAUGUUGCCUUGUCG
RNAcentral lists this long non-coding RNA (462 nucleotides) under Solanum tuberosum (potato). RNAcentral's name for it is "long non-coding RNA (STUB_LNC007172)". Lineage: Eukaryota; Viridiplantae; Streptophyta; Magnoliopsida; Solanales; Solanaceae. The record is from RNAcentral.